AUUGAACGCUGGCGGCAGGCCUAACACAUGCAAGUCGAGCGGAUGAAGGGAGCUUGCUCCUGGAUUCAGCGGCGGACGGGUGAGUAAUGCCUAGGAAUCUGCCUGGUAGUGGGGGAUAACGUCCGGAAACGGGCGCUAAUACCGCAUACGUCCUGAGGGGGAAAGUGGGGGAUCUUCGGACCUCACGCUAUCAGAUGAGCCUAGGUCGGAUUAGCUAGUUGGUGGGGUAAAGGCCUACCAAGGCGACGAUCCGUAACUGGUCUGAGAGGAUGAUCAGUCACACUGGAACUGAGACACGGUCCAGACUCCUACGGGAGGCAGCAGUGGGGAAUAUUGGACAAUGGGCGAAAGCCUGAUCCAGCCGUGCCGCGUGUGUGAAGAAGGUCUUCGGAUUGUAAAGCACUUUAAGUUGGGAGGAAGGGCAGUAAGUUAAUACCUUGCUGUUUUGACGUUACCAACAGAAUAAGCACCGGCUAACUUCGUG
Molecule: ribosomal RNA, 484 nt
Filed under: uncultured bacterium
Lineage: Bacteria
Description: partial 16S ribosomal RNA
Rfam family: Bacterial small subunit ribosomal RNA
Source: RNAcentral